Molecule: ribosomal RNA, 320 nt
Filed under: uncultured eukaryote
Lineage: Eukaryota
Description: partial 18S ribosomal RNA
Rfam family: Eukaryotic small subunit ribosomal RNA
Source: RNAcentral
CCCUUAGAUGUUCUGGGCCGCACGCGCGCUACACUGAACAGUUCAACAAGUCUUAACCUUGGCCGAUAGGUCUGGGUAAUCUUUGAACGCUGUUCGUGAUUGGGAUAGACCUUUGCAAUUAUGGGUCUUCAACGAGGAAUUCCUAGUAAACGCAAGUCAUCAGCUUGCAUUGAUUACGUCCCUGCCCUUUGUACACACCGCCCGUCGCACCUACCGAUUGAAUGGUCCGGUGAAAUCUCGGGACGGCGGCUUGGUCGCUUGCGUCCGACUGCUGAAACUUGAUUAAACCAUAUCAUUUAGAGGAAGGGGAAGUCGUAACA